Anneissia japonica is the source of this 985-nucleotide long non-coding RNA. RefSeq lists it as uncharacterized. The transcript is spliced from 5 exons. The record is from RefSeq and is a predicted model, not a curated record. Lineage: Eukaryota; Metazoa; Echinodermata; Crinoidea; Comatulida; Comatulidae.
UAUUUUUUUAUACACACACAGUCAAUACCACAAUCAGAAUACCACAACCAGAAGACCACAAAGACUUGAUGAAUUUAAGCAUCUACGACAAAUGAAAGAUUUUCAUUCUUUAUAACAUCAUCGCAAAUGGAAAAGCGCAAAUUUUCAGUACAUCAAUGUAUAGCAAGUUUGAAAUCCAAAGUGAAGUGUGUGAAGCGCUUAGAGGCCUUGCUGGCAUAAAAUGCUAUAUACAAUUACAUUAAUUUAGUGGCAACUGAGAAAACUGACAUGUUAAGUCUAAUGAACCCUCACACAUAUAGUGCAUUAUGCCUGAAGAGAGUCCAGAUCGGACCAAAAAUUUGUGAAGCCAUGGAAAGUUUUUCGAAAGUACUGACUGAAUGUGCCUGUGGCCUUUCUUGUGGGUGUAGCUGAUUGGCCGUGUCAUGUGAACAUGCAGAUAGCAUAGUGCGUGGAUCCUGUUGGAAAGCAGCCAAUAUGUCAUUACAUGAUAUUAAGGCCAUGCCGUACAUACUUAGUCAAUUUGAAUAUUUUUUACACAAAUUUCAGAUGCAGGUUUGCACGCUGGCUGUACACUGGAUGUGUCACAUGUCCAUCAAUCUCUGCCUAUCACAUCAGCCUAUCAUAUUGCAAGUUAUGAGAACUGCAUUACACAGUUACGUCAAAAUCCUGAAAAUUACAGGCGUGCAAGAAAGUCAAACUUAUUGUGUAAUAACUAUCUUUUAUUUUAUGCUUAAGAUAAUUUUAUAAACCAUAUGCAUUUACUUGAAAAAAUAUAUUUAUGUGAAUGUGUAUUAUAAUAAUUAAAAUAAUCGAAAAAGUCUAAAUUUGUAAGAAUAAUGUUUAUUCUGCUCCAUGUGUUUUAAAUAGUCAGAUGUUAAUGGUUAUGAUAUGUAAUAUUGUUAUUAGGCCUUAGUAUUAUUAUUGAUGUGUAUUGUAUGAUAUUAGGCUAAUAAAAUAUCAGUAUGUGCUGAAAUAUUCCGCUAUA